Molecule: ribosomal RNA, 162 nt
Filed under: Heracleum candicans
Lineage: Eukaryota; Viridiplantae; Streptophyta; Magnoliopsida; Apiales; Apiaceae
Also listed under: 7 other names
Description: 5.8S ribosomal RNA
Rfam family: 5.8S ribosomal RNA
About the family: 5.8S ribosomal RNA (5.8S rRNA) is a component of the large subunit of the eukaryotic ribosome. It is transcribed by RNA polymerase I as part of the 45S precursor that also contains 18S and 28S rRNA.
Source: RNAcentral
AACGACUCUCGACAACGGAUAUCUCGGCUCUCGCAUCGAUGAAGAACGUAGCGAAAUGCGAUACUUGGUGUGAAUUGCAGAAUCCCGUGAACCAUCGAGUCUUUGAACGCAAGUUGCGCCCGAAGCCAUUAGGCUGAGGGCACGUCUGCCUGGGUGUCAUGC